RNAcentral lists this long non-coding RNA (919 nucleotides) under Helianthus annuus (common sunflower). RNAcentral describes it as "sRNA HanXRQr2_Chr07g0313201". The record is from RNAcentral. Lineage: Eukaryota; Viridiplantae; Streptophyta; Magnoliopsida; Asterales; Asteraceae.
GAAAUUAACUUUUCGUACCUCACGUUAUCGAUGCUAACCAAGACAUCAAUCCACUUCUCUCGAACUGUCACAUGAUAAUUCAAUUGUAUCACCCCUUCAAGUUGAUGAUAAUUCAACGAAAACCCUAGUUUUUGAUCAUCUUGUCCGUUACUAUUACACUUUUCAAUCUCCAUAGCAAUAACCGGACAAUACAACUGAAUUUUCCAUAACCCUAAUCCAGAUAUCGCCAAAGAGUACAUCGGCGAUGGCGCUUUGAGCCCAGGAUUCGUCGCUUGUAGCUCGACCAUCCAGUUUGUGAUUGCAAGAUUCAUGGAUCGCAUCCAUUGUUCUUCGGCGUUUGACCCUAUUAGCCUCAUUAACCUUUUAGAUGUUGUUCUUGCCCACGGACAGGCAAAAUGAUUUUUGAUAGUGUUUAUACAAUCACGCCUGAUAUCUUGAGGGGCUUCGUAUAUUGAUAUAACAAAAGCAAGCGCAAGAAACAAGAAAUUAACUAUGUCUUUGAGGUCAGGGAUUGAACUCGGUUGUGGGAGAUUGAGGAAAGCAUUUGAGAGUUUUAUAGGGCUAUAGUUAAGAAUAUCUUUGAUGAUAUUGAUUAAGAGUUUGGAGAUGGUCCAAAGGGAGAUGGGUUGGUUGUAAUUUGCGAAAAUGGAGAAGGAGAUUGAAGAAGGGUGAGUUAAGGUUUUGCAUGUAAUGGAGAGAUGAAGAGAAGGUUGAGAUGAAGUUGGUGAAGAACAAAUGCAUAUAGAUGUUGUGUUUGUUGGCCAUUGGGAUUGUGGUGGUAGGUUGUGAAUCCAACCCCAAAUAUCAGGAAAUGAAGAAGUAGCCAUUUUGAGAGAGUUAGAGGGCUAAAGAGUGUUAAAACUUACAAGAACAUACACCACAAUCUACACUUGAUCUUUAAGGAAACACUAAUACAUGU